AUUGGUGCUCUUUGACCUUUUGGAAACACAUAAUACAUUCCGAACUUAGUUGUGAAACGAAAGGUGGGGUUAAAUACUAGGAAAGACAUUUCCUGGGAAAAUUUCCUUAGUGCCAGUA
Molecule: ribosomal RNA, 118 nt
Filed under: Euglena mutabilis
Lineage: Eukaryota; Euglenozoa; Euglenophyceae; Euglenales; Euglenaceae
Source: RNAcentral